Molecule: ribosomal RNA, 117 nt
Filed under: Lepisosteus oculatus (spotted gar)
Lineage: Eukaryota; Metazoa; Chordata; Actinopteri; Semionotiformes; Lepisosteidae
Source: RNAcentral
GUCAGCAGCUCUAUCACCCUGCAACUCACAACUGGCAACCCACUGAAACUAAGCAGGUGUGAGCCUGGUCAGUACCUGGAUGGGAGACUCCUGGGAAAGCUCAUGUUGCUGCUGGAA